This 86-nucleotide transfer RNA is filed under the name Chthonomonas sp. RNAcentral's name for it is "tRNA-Leu". It matches the Rfam family "tRNA". From Rfam's summary of the family: Transfer RNA (tRNA) molecules are approximately 80 nucleotides in length. Their secondary structure includes four short double-helical elements and three loops (D, anti-codon, and T loops). Further hydrogen bonds mediate the characteristic L-shaped molecular structure. tRNAs have two regions of fundamental functional importance: the anti-codon, which is responsible for specific mRNA codon recognition, and the 3' end, to which the tRNAs corresponding amino acid is attached (by aminoacyl-tRNA synthetases). tRNAs cope with the degeneracy of the genetic code in two manners: having more than one tRNA (with a specific anti-codon) for a particular amino acid; and 'wobble' base-pairing, i.e. permitting non-standard base-pairing at the 3rd anti-codon position. The record is from RNAcentral. Lineage: Bacteria; Bacillati; Armatimonadota; Chthonomonadia; Chthonomonadales; Chthonomonadaceae.
GCCGGGAUGGCGGAAUGGUAGACGCGGCGGUCUCAAACACCGUUGAGCUCAAACUCGUGCGGGUUCGAGUCCCGCUCCCGGCACCA